CGGAAAAUGCUAUGGGUGAAGCCCACCACUCAGUACCCAUUUUCAUUUCUAAUGACACCCCUAGUUCCUUCCUUCCCAGGAUUUUCAAAAGCAGACUCAUCAGUGUCAAGUUUGUAGUGACCUCUAUGGGUGAAGCCCACCAACCAGCACCCAUUUUCAUUUCUAAUGACACCCUUAGUCCCCAUUUUCAUUUCUAAUGACACCCCUAGCGCCCCCUUUCCCAGGGUUCCCAAAAGCAAACUCGUCAAUGUUAAGUUUAUAAUGACAGUGCCACCCUUCCCAGGAUUCCUAAAAAACAGACCCAUUAGUGUUAAGUUUAUAAUGACCUCUAUGGGUGAAGCUCAG
RNAcentral lists this long non-coding RNA (345 nucleotides) under Capsicum annuum. RNAcentral describes it as "long non-coding RNA (CANN_LNC000609)". The record is from RNAcentral. Lineage: Eukaryota; Viridiplantae; Streptophyta; Magnoliopsida; Solanales; Solanaceae.